GCCGAGGUGGUGUAACGGCAGCAUGAGAGGCUGUGGCCCUCUAGGUCCGGGUUCAAAUCCCGGCCUCGGCC
RNAcentral lists this transfer RNA (71 nucleotides) under Microcaldota archaeon. Its description in RNAcentral is "Candidatus Micrarchaeota archaeon (hot springs metagenome) tRNA-His". It matches the Rfam family "tRNA". Rfam says of the family: Transfer RNA (tRNA) molecules are approximately 80 nucleotides in length. Their secondary structure includes four short double-helical elements and three loops (D, anti-codon, and T loops). Lineage: Archaea; Nanobdellati; Microcaldota. RNAcentral also lists the same sequence under 1 other name. The record is from RNAcentral.